UUCGUAUUUAUUAAUUUCUGUAUUUGUUAUUUUGGUUCUAAGUGAAUCGUUAGAAUUAAAGACGAAUUCGAAACGUGCAGGAGUGUUAUUUACAUAGCCAAUUACUGCGGGCCCAGAAAUAUACGGGCCCCGUAUAGUAAAAGGAAGCUGUCUGAAAUUUUGUCGUGGUAAAUAAACAUGGCAGGGACCACGAAAAAUUCUUGUUAAACUGAUUAAACACUGUGCCAUUGAAUAAACCAUUCAGGAUCUCAAGACAAAAGGACUGGAUACAUGAAUUUUUGGGUUACAAGUUCAUAAUAAAAUGAUGUACAAUUUAAUAUUACAUUACUCUUGUCGUGUAAGGGUACAGAGCGAAUCAUUUACUCGACAAUAGUCUUCGAGAUAGAGAGAAAAGAUUCCUAAUACCGUUGAUUUAAUUAACUCCGCCGAACGAAGCUAACCGAUAUUUGGACUCUUCAAGAAAAAAAAAAUGCGAUUUCUUGGUGUUUUCAUCACUUUGUUCCU
Orbicella faveolata is the source of this 504-nucleotide long non-coding RNA. The record is from RefSeq and is a predicted model, not a curated record. Lineage: Eukaryota; Metazoa; Cnidaria; Anthozoa; Scleractinia; Merulinidae.